Molecule: long non-coding RNA, 427 nt
Filed under: Callithrix jacchus (white-tufted-ear marmoset)
Lineage: Eukaryota; Metazoa; Chordata; Mammalia; Primates; Cebidae
Description: lncRNA (ENSCJAG00000084204.1)
Source: RNAcentral
AAUCACAUUUCUCCCAGGAUGACAUUUGUUUGCUCAUAAUGUAUAACCAAGGAUACACACACACACACACACACGCACACACCAGAGCUUAAGAUCCACAUGGAAUAACAGACUUCUUGUUCUGAGUUGAGUUGAUAUCAUUUCAUUCUAAAGCAGAGAGAUUUGAUGGUUUUGAGAUCUUGAUGUUUUAGGUAGUCCAUCACAGCUUUGUGCCGGGGCAGGACACGUUCCAAGGUAGCAACAGCAGAGGAGCCUUGCCAAUUGCCUGUUAAAUUGACUGGUAGGAAAGCUUCUGAUUGUCUCCUCAAUACCACGACACUAGUAAUAUUUAAAUUAGAUAUAUUGUAAUUAGAGCUACAAGAGGCAAACCAAGCCUGUCCCUGUACUUUGGUCACAAGCGUGGAGUUUUGGGUGUAACAGAAAUGGC